RNAcentral lists this ribosomal RNA (405 nucleotides) under uncultured bacterium. Its description in RNAcentral is "bacterial SSU rRNA". It matches the Rfam family "Bacterial small subunit ribosomal RNA", at positions 509 to 916 of the family's 1533-position model. The record is from RNAcentral.
CAGCAGCCGCGGUAAUACGGAGGAUCCAAGCGUUAUCCGGAUUUAUUGGGUUUAAAGGGUGCGUAGGCGGUCCUAUAAGUCAGUGGUGAAAGACGGCAGCUUAACUGUCGCAGUGCCUUUGAUACUGUAGGACUUGAAUCUAUUUGAAGUGGGCGGAAUAAGACAAGUAGCGGUGAAAUGCAUAGAUAUGUCUUAGAACUCCGAUUGCGAAGGCAGCUCACUAAGUUAGUAUUGACGCUGAUGCACGAAAGCGUGGGGAUCAAACAGGAUUAGAUACCCUGGUAGUCCACGCCCUAAACGAUGAUAACUCGAUGUUUGCGAUACACAGUAAGCGUCCAAGCGAAAGCGUUAAGUUAUCCACCUGGGGAGUACGGUCGCAAGAUUGAAACUCAAAGGAAUUGACGG